RNAcentral lists this ribosomal RNA (496 nucleotides) under uncultured bacterium. RNAcentral describes it as "partial 16S ribosomal RNA". It matches the Rfam family "Bacterial small subunit ribosomal RNA", at positions 28 to 506 of the family's 1533-position model. The record is from RNAcentral.
GAUGAACGCUGGCGGCGUGCCUAAUACAUGCAAGUCGAGCGAACAGACGAGGAGCUUGCUCCUCUGACGUUAGCGGCGGACGGGUGAGUAACACGUGGAUAACCUACCUAUAAGACUGGGAUAACUUCGGGAAACCGGAGCUAAUACCGGAUAAUAUAUUGAACCGCAUGGUUCAAUAGUGAAAGACGGUUUUGCUGUCACUUAUAGAUGGAUCCGCGCCGCAUUAGCUAGUUGGUAAGGUAACGGCUUACCAAGGCAACGAUGCGUAGCCGACCUGAGAGGGUGAUCGGCCACACUGGAACUGAGACACGGUCCAGACUCCUACGGGAGGCAGCAGUAGGGAAUCUUCCGCAAUGGGCGAAAGCUUGACGGAGCAACGCCGCGUGAGUGAUGAAGGUCUUCGGAUCGUAAAACUCUGUUAUUAGGGAAGAACAAAUGUGUGAGUAACUAUGCACGUCUUGACGGUACCUAAUCAGAAAGCCACGGCUAACUACGU